Molecule: ribosomal RNA, 303 nt
Filed under: Triticum aestivum (bread wheat)
Lineage: Eukaryota; Viridiplantae; Streptophyta; Magnoliopsida; Poales; Poaceae
Description: partial small subunit ribosomal RNA
Source: RNAcentral
AUGCUCCUUGCCACCUCCUCGUCGCGUGUUCUGAUCAAUGGGGUGCCUGGCCGGCCCAUAAUCCACUGUUGCGGCUUGCGUCAGGGUGACCCUCUGUCGCCGUUCUUAUUCAUCCUCGCCAUGGAGCCCCUCCAACAGCUUCUCGAUGUUGCAGUGGACACAGGGGUCAUCUCCAAGCUCUAGGGUCGGCUGCCGCAGCUGCGGGCUUCCCUCUACGCCGACGAUGUUGCUCUCUUCCUCAACCCCGUGAAGACCGAGCUGGCAGCUCUCCGCUCCAUUCUUACUGCUUUUGGCCUGGCUUCC